CCAAAAGAGUUAAACACAGGGACACAUUUGAAGUCUCGGAGCCGGGUGUUGGUUCCGGUAGUGAUCGAGGGAAAUUAGUACCGAAGUCCGGGAUGGAAGAUGGCGAGAAAAGCUGUGUGUAUUUCUGCGGUGCCCGUACCGCAAACCGACACAGGUAGGUAGGAAGAAGAUUCUAAGGCCAACGGGAGAAGGGUUGUUAAGGAACUCGGCAAAUUGACCCCGUAACUUCGGGAGAAGGGGUGCUCCAGAGAUGGAGCCGCAGAGAAUCGGCCCAAGCAACUGUUUACCAAAAACACAGGUUUGUGCUAAAUCGAAAGAUGACGUAUACGAGCUGACGCCUGCCCGGUGCUGGAAGGUUAAGAGGAGAUGUGCAAGCAUUGAAUCGAAGCCCCAGUGAGCGGCGGCCGUAACUAUAACGGUCCUAAGGUAGCGAAAUUCCUUGUCAGGUAAGUUCUGACCCGCAUGAAAGGCGUAAUGAUUUGGGCACUGUCUCGACAGCCCGCCCGGCGAAAUUGUAGUACCGGUGAAGAUGCCGGUUACCCGCGACAAGACGGAAAGACCCCAUGGAGCUUUACUGUAGCCUAAUAUUGGGUUUCGAUGUUGCAUGCACAGGAUAGAUGGGACACUAGGAAGCAAGUGCUUUGGCAUUUGUGGAGUGGCCGUUGGGAUACCAUCCUUGCGAUAUUGGAAUUCUAACCUGCGCCUUUGAAUCAAGGCGGGGGACAUUGUUAGGUGGGCAGUUUGACUGGGGCGGUCGCCUCCUAAAGAGUAACGGAGGCGUUCAAAGGUUCGCUCAGCUUGAACGGAAAUCAAGCAAAAGAGUGCAAACGCAGAAGCGAGCCUAACUGCUAGACUGACGGGUCGAGCAGUAACGAAAGUUGGAGUUAGUGAUCCGGUGGUAUGUGAGUGGAAAUGCCAUCGCUCAACGGAUAAAAGUUACCCUGGGGAUAACAGGCUGAUCUCCCCCAAGAGUCCACAUCGACGGGGAGGUUUGGCACCUCGAUGUCGGCUCAUCGCAUCCUGGGGCUGUAUUCGGUCCCAAGGGUUUGGCUGUUCGCCAAUUAAAGCGGUACGCGAGCUGGGUUCAGAACGUCGUGAGACAGUUCGGUCCCUAUCUGUCGUGGGCGCAGGAUAUUUGAUGGGAGCUGUUCCUAGUACGAGAGGACCGGAGCGGACGUACCUCUGGCGCACCAGUUGUUCUGCCAAGGGCAUAGCUGGGCAACUAUGUACGGAUCGGAUAAACGCUGAAAGCAUCUAAGCGUGAAGCCGACCCAAAGAUAAGAUAUCCCAUUGUUUCAAACAAGUAAGACCCCUUGAAGACUACAAGGUUGAUAGGCAUGAUGUGUAAGUGGAGUGAUCCAUUCAGCAAGCAUGUACUAAUAGGUCGAGGGCUUGACCG
RNAcentral lists this ribosomal RNA (1399 nucleotides) under metagenome. RNAcentral's name for it is "bacterial LSU rRNA". It matches the Rfam family "Bacterial large subunit ribosomal RNA", at positions 1450 to 2925 of the family's 2925-position model. The record is from RNAcentral.